GACGAACGCUGGCGGCGUGCUUAACACAUGCAAGUCGAACGGAAAGGCCCUGCUUUUGUGGGGUGCUCGAUUGGCGAACGCGUGAGUAACACGUGAGUAUCCUGCCCUUGACUUUCGGAUAACUUCAGGAAACUGGGGCUAAUAUCGGAUAGGAUCUCCUGCUGCAUGGUGGGGGUUGGAAAGUUUCGGCGUUUGGGGAUGGACUCGCGGCUUAUCAGCUUGUUGGUGGGGUAGUGGCUUACCAAGGGUUUGACGGGUAGCCGGCCUGAGAGGGGGGCCGGGGACAAGAGGACUAAGAGAGGGAGCAGACGGGUACGGGAGGCAACAGGGGGGAGUAUGGCGCAGUGAGCGGGAGCGUGAGGCAAAAACGUUGGGUGCGGGAUGACGGCCUUCGGGGUAUAAACAGCUGUCGCCUGAGACGAAGCGGGAGUGACGGUAAUGGGUAAAGAAGCACCGGCUAACUACGUG
RNAcentral lists this ribosomal RNA (468 nucleotides) under uncultured bacterium. RNAcentral's name for it is "partial 16S ribosomal RNA". It matches the Rfam family "Bacterial small subunit ribosomal RNA", at positions 28 to 507 of the family's 1533-position model. The record is from RNAcentral.